UGAAGCUCGUCUAUACAAGAUAAUAACGAUUAUGCACGGGAUGCGUUAUAAAUACAUUCAUUCACAAAAACAAAAAUUGAUGAUCAAAGGUACUGAUUUUUAUUUUGUUUGAUUCAGAACUUUGAUGGUCAAAGAUUGUGAUUUCCUCUGGAUUUAUUACCUUAUGUUGGGCGUUUUACCAUGCAUAAAAAUACUUUUUUUUCUAGCAGGAAAAUAAACGAAACUUUAAAAAUGAAAAAAACUCUCUCUACCUCUACUUCCACCCUUCCCCGAAGCGAACCCAGGAAGCUUCUUCAUCACAGAUCCACAACGAUGACGUGAUGGGGAGGAGCGAGGAGGAGGAGAUGCGGGUGUUCGAGGACGGCGCGUUCCAGAUCGCCGAGGGUGGCGGCGGCGGCGAGUUGGGUCUCCUGAGCGAUCGAGUUCUUGGAUAAUUGCGUGGACCAGGAUAAGUGGCAUCCGGUUCGUAAUUUGAUCGGGUCGGGUCGAUUCGUGUCUGUCAAACCGGGAGAGUUGCGGUGCGAUCAGGUUAUGCUUUUUUGAUCCAUCUGUUCGUCCUCGUCUCCGUUCUAGUCGUGCAGUUAGGAUCCAAAUCAGUUGGAAUCUGGAAUUGACUGGUGGUUACGGGAAUUCGGCAUUGCGGCUUUUACGCAGUUUUAUGGCGGAGUAGGAUGUGAUAAUGAUCAAUGGUGAUGGAGCUCCAAAGUCAUGUCAUUUGUUAGGGGAGUGCAAUACAAAUUGCUAUGCAUUUUUAGCUAUGGAAUUGAUUGAAUGCUAUUACAGUUUGGGGAUCAGUGAUAAUGAAAGCUGAAUAUGCUAACAAGUGAUUAAUUAUCUCCUAGAUUCCGAGAAACAUGGGAACCACACAGAUUGGAAAGAUCUAGGUUCCAGGUAAAUUCAGUUGGACAGGUGAUCUUUUGUGGUAGCUCCACCCUUUCAUGAUUGAUUAUGGCUGCGCAGAACCAAUGGUUGUCGCGACGCUGGAAAUUCUGGCUACACUGAAACUGCAAUUGGCUGAUCAUGUAUUCCCUAGAUUCUGGGAAAGAUGAGAACAAAAGAUUUGAGGAUCUAGAGUCUAGACCAAUGUGGUUAGACAGGUGGUUUUUUCCUGCUAGCUGUUUAUCUAUCAUUUUUAUGUGGACUAUUUCUACUUUUCUCUCUGUUUUCUCUGCUCUUCAUUUCAUUUUAUCUCUCUCUAACGUUAUCUCUCUUGACGCCGCAGUGGAUCAAGGAGCCAACAAUUCUUAUCGCCCGCUUUGAAUAUGCAAACCUUUCACAAUGUUACUGAUUGGUACAAUGCAUACGUUUCCUCCAGGGUCACUGAAUUACCGUAUCGACCUCAUAUUAUCUUUGUAGACGGCCAUUGCACGGCAAUAGCUACAUUUUGUAUUUAAACCCGAAAUGAAUCAGCUAGUUUACCAAAAAUAAACGCAUCCAAGCUUUUGUUGGGCAUGUAUUCGUAGAUCAGCAUUUUUCCGUCUCCCUGAGUGCAACUACCGAGAAGCUUUACUAGAUUUCGGUGCUGAAGUUUCGCAAUUAGUAUGACCUCAUUCUUGAACUCCCUCAGUCCUUGCCUAGAGCUACUUGAAAGUCUCUUCACAGCGAUUUCUCAUCCAUCUACAAGUAUACCCUGGAAAAAAAAAAUAACAAUGGGAAGAUUCAAUUCCAAAAGCAGGAUCAUUGUGCUAUGUUUCGGAUAGUCCACUCCAAAUUUUGUUUUACCUUGUAUACUGGUCCAAAACCGCCUUCACCUAGCUUGUUCCUCAUUGAAAAAUUGUUUGUGGACUCAGCAAUUGUGUGUAGGUCGAAUAAUGGGAGCUCCAAGUCAUCAUCAGGGUGUUCACUCUCGCCCUUCAGAUAUAUUUUCUGCUAUCUCUAAAAUGGAAAAUCUGAGGUAUUUAGCUCAAGUAAAAAGAAGGCAGGGAAGCACUGUAAGUCCCACUUCUGAUCAAACCAGUGAACAAACUUUUUUCUGCGGUAUCAUGCAACUCUCUGACUAUGCCAAAUUUUUAGUUUUCAAAUUUAGAGUGAUAAUUUUCGAUAUUCUUCUCUUUUCCUUGACCACAGAUUUUCUCUUUGGCAUGAAAACUAAGUAUUGUGAGGAGAGUCAUGAGAAGAAAUAUGUACCUCUGAAGUUUUUCCUUCUUCUGCGUGCAUAACAGAUGGCGACUAGCAUGGCAGUAGUUAUGGCAAUUGCUAAUACAACUACCAGAACUAUCCACACCUUGGACUUACUCUUCCCUGUUCAAUUGAAAAGUUAGCAUAAAAAACAUAUAAAUGCCAAAUAUGACGGGUGACUAUUGAAAGGUGUGUGCUCACAUUUGAUAGGAAAAAUAAUGAUAGAUGAAACGGAAAUCUAGUGCAAGAUCUACUUUUCUAAGAGAUGCCAAAACAAGAUAGUACCUAUUUCUGAAGCUGGCAUCCGCAAAUAUGGAACCUGCCCAGCAUCUGGAUACUGUCUCAUAUCUAUCAGAUCACCGAACCACAUUGCACAUCCACUUCCUCGUCCACUGAUAUCUGAGUUUGCAUAUGCUGUACAUGAACAGUUGUUCAAGCAUUUGGUCCAGCAAUCGUCAAGGCUCAAGGUACUAUCCACUAAACAAUGAGUAGUGUCUGGCAAUUUCAUGUUAGGAUACUUUAUGAAUCCAUCGCUGAUGAUGCAGUUCAGAGGCUCAUU
Molecule: RNA transcript, 2677 nt
Organism: Syzygium oleosum
Lineage: Eukaryota; Viridiplantae; Streptophyta; Magnoliopsida; Myrtales; Myrtaceae
Exons: 2
Source: RefSeq, a predicted model, not a curated record